UACGGAGGGGGCUAGCGUUGUUCGGAAUUACUGGGCGUAAAGCGCACGUAGGCGGAUCGUUAAGUCGGGGGUGAAAUCCUGGAGCUCAACUCCAGAACUGCCUUCGAUACUGAGAGUCUUGAGUCCGGGGAGAGGUGAGUGGAACUGCGAGUGUAAGAGGUGAAAUUCGUAGAUAUUCGCAAGAACACCAGUGGCGAAGCGGCUCACUGGCCCGGGUACUGACGCUGAGGUGCGAAAGCGUGGGGAGCAAACAGG
Molecule: ribosomal RNA, 255 nt
Filed under: uncultured bacterium
Lineage: Bacteria
Description: partial 16S ribosomal RNA
Rfam family: Bacterial small subunit ribosomal RNA
Source: RNAcentral